GGGGGAUUAGCUCAGCUGGGAGAGCACCUGCCUUACAAGCAGGGGGUCGGCGGUUCGAUCCCGUCAUCCUCCACCA
Molecule: transfer RNA, 76 nt
Filed under: Bacillus thuringiensis
Lineage: Bacteria; Bacillati; Bacillota; Bacilli; Caryophanales; Bacillaceae
Also listed under: 2 other names
Description: tRNA-Val
Rfam family: tRNA
About the family: Transfer RNA (tRNA) molecules are approximately 80 nucleotides in length. Their secondary structure includes four short double-helical elements and three loops (D, anti-codon, and T loops). Further hydrogen bonds mediate the characteristic L-shaped molecular structure. tRNAs have two regions of fundamental functional importance: the anti-codon, which is responsible for specific mRNA codon recognition, and the 3' end, to which the tRNAs corresponding amino acid is attached (by aminoacyl-tRNA synthetases). tRNAs cope with the degeneracy of the genetic code in two manners: having more than one tRNA (with a specific anti-codon) for a particular amino acid; and 'wobble' base-pairing, i.e. permitting non-standard base-pairing at the 3rd anti-codon position.
Source: RNAcentral